Molecule: long non-coding RNA, 386 nt
Organism: Thalassophryne amazonica
Lineage: Eukaryota; Metazoa; Chordata; Actinopteri; Batrachoidiformes; Batrachoididae
Exons: 3
Source: RefSeq, a predicted model, not a curated record
AGCUGAUCCUUGGUGUAAUCUCACCUCCACCUUGAAUGAACCUGUCAUUCCUACUGCACAUCUCACCACUGUUAUACUGUCCUUGAACAUGUCCUGCUCUACCGUCACAUACUUCUCUGUCACUCCAUACAUCCUCAUAUAAUACCACAACUCUUUUCUUGGCACCCUGUCAUAACCUUUCUCUAACUCCACAAACACACAAUGUAACUCCUUCUGGCCUUCUCUAUACUUCUCCAUCAGUAUUCUCAUGGCAAACAUUGCAUCUGCAGUGCUCUUUCUUGACAUGAAAACAUAUUGCUGCUCAUGGAUCUUCACCUGUUUUCUCAGGCUAGCUUCUACCACUCUUUCCCAUAACCUCAUGCUUGUUGCCACUGUAGUUCCUGCAG